Molecule: ribosomal RNA, 56 nt
Filed under: uncultured bacterium
Lineage: Bacteria
Description: partial 16S ribosomal RNA
Source: RNAcentral
GCUAGCCCUAACCGCGAAGGGGGGCGGUUGCCACGGUGAGAUUCAUGACUGGGUGG